This 460-nucleotide ribosomal RNA is filed under the name uncultured bacterium. RNAcentral's name for it is "partial 16S ribosomal RNA". It matches the Rfam family "Bacterial small subunit ribosomal RNA", at positions 338 to 795 of the family's 1533-position model. The record is from RNAcentral.
CCUACGGGGGGCUGCAGUGAGGAAUAUUGGUCAAUGGACGAGAGUCUGAACCAGCCAAGGAGCGUGAAGGAUGACUGCCCUAUGGGUUGUAAACUUCUUUUAUAUGGGAAUAAAACGUUCCACGUGUGGGAUUUUGUAUGUACCAUAUGAAUAAGGAUCGGCUAACUCCGUGCCAGCAGCCGCGGUAAUACGGAGGAUCCGAGCGUUAUCCGGAUUUAUUGGGUUUAAAGGGAGCGUAGGUGGAUUGUUAAGUCAGUUGUGAAAGUUUGCGGCUCAACCGUAAAAUUGCAGUUGAAACUGGCAGUCUUGAGUACAGUAGAGGUGGGCGGAAUUCGUGGUGUAGCGGUGAAAUGCUUAGAUAUCACGAAGAACUCCGAUUGCGAAGGCAGUUCACUGGACUGCAACUGACACUGAGGCUCGAAAGUGUGGGUAUCAAACAGGAUUAGAUACCCUUGUAGUC